UACGGAGGGGGCUAGCGUUGUUCGGAAUUACUGGGCGUAAAGCGCACGUAGGCGGCUUUGUAAGUUAGAGGUGAAAGCCCGGGGCUCAACUCCGGAAUUGCCUUUAAGACUGCAUCGCUAGAAUUGUGGAGAGGUAGUGGAAUUCCGAGUGUAGAGGUGAAAUUCGUAGAUAUUCGGAAGAACACCAGUGGCGAAGGCGACUUACUGGACACAUAUUGACGCUGAGGUGCGAAAGCGUGGGGAGCAAACAGG
This 252-nucleotide ribosomal RNA is filed under the name uncultured bacterium. Its description in RNAcentral is "partial 16S ribosomal RNA". It matches the Rfam family "Bacterial small subunit ribosomal RNA", at positions 524 to 776 of the family's 1533-position model. The record is from RNAcentral.